Molecule: ribosomal RNA, 479 nt
Filed under: uncultured organism
Description: partial 16S ribosomal RNA
Rfam family: Bacterial small subunit ribosomal RNA
Source: RNAcentral
ACGUACACUCCUGCGGGAGGCAGCAGUGGGGAAUAUUGCACAAUGGGCGCAAGCCUGAUGCAGCCAUGCCGCGUGUAUGAAGAAGGCCUUCGGGUUGUAAAGUACUUUCAGCGGGGAGGAAGGCGAUAAGGUUAAUAACCUUGUUGAUUGACGUUACCCGCAGAAGAAGCACCGGCUAACUCCGUGCCAGCAGCCGCGGUAAUACGGAGGGUGCAAGCGUUAAUCGGAAUUACUGGGCGUAAAGCGCACGCAGGCGGUCUGUCAAGUCGUAUGUGAAAUCCCCGGGCUCAACCUGGGAACUGCAUUCGAAACUGGCAGGCUAGAGUCUUGUAGAGGGGGGUAGAAUUCCAGGUGUAGCGGUGAAAUGCAUAGAGAUCUGGAGGAAUACCGGUGGCGAAGGCGGCCCCCUGGACAAAGACUGACGCUCAGGUGCGAAAGCGUGGGGAGCAAACAGGAUUAGAUACCCGGGUAGUCCCAUG